RNAcentral lists this long non-coding RNA (1488 nucleotides) under Pan troglodytes (chimpanzee). RNAcentral's name for it is "lincRNA". The record is from RNAcentral. Lineage: Eukaryota; Metazoa; Chordata; Mammalia; Primates; Hominidae.
GCUCGCAAGAGAUGGUGGCCCUGAAGGCGCUUUGGGAAUUGUGGAUCAGGCAUCAGUGUGAAGCUUCCUGCUUGUUUGGGAACGAUGGCGGAGGUCAUGAGCUUAUGUUGGGCGAGGGAAAAUGAGUGCAAUGCACUAGGAACAUCCACUCUGUCUGCAAACCCAGAGCGUUCACACAGCACUCUGCUUUAUCUGAGACCUCCCAGCCAUGCCUUUCCAACGCCAUUCUACAGAUGAGGAAACUGAGGCCCUUACCGGCAAGAUUAGGUGACCGCCCACGGUCACACAGUCAGUCACCAGCUGAAAGGAACAGUGAGAAUCUGAGGGCUUAUGGUCCGAGCCCUCAGCCCUGUUUCUGCUCUAACUGGGUGCAACCAGGCUCCCUCCGUGGCAGCCUCUCCUGGUCUGGCUCAGCUGAGCUCCAUGGACGCCCGCUGCUCUCAUCACUUCUGCCUCCUGCACUCUCUGCUUCCGGUUCUCUGGGUUUCGUGCUGUUCCGAGGCAGAGUAUCGUUCUAUCACCCAGGCUGGAGUGCAGCGGGGCGAUCUCUGUUCAUUACAACCUCCGCCUCCCGGGUUCAAGCGAUUCUCCUGUCUCAGCCUCCUGAGUAGCUGGGAUUAUAGAGGGUCUUACUUUGUCGCCCAGGCUGGAGUACAGUGGCAUGAUCAUAGCUCAUUGCAGCCUCCACCUCCCUGGGCUCAGGAGAUCCAUCUCAGCCUCCUGAGUAGCUGGGACCACAGGUUUUGUUCAGGUUUAGCACAAGCUGUGAUGAAUAUCUUCAAGCCUCUGCUUCCUGCUGUGGAAUUGUUGCCAAAGGACACAUUCCCAGAUGGGAUUACUGAGUCAGAGGAAGUGGACAUUGAGUGGCUCUCAACAGACAGGCUGUGUUGCUCUCACAGUGCCCAGCUUCCCAUGGGUGGCCAGCCGAAUGCAUUAUGGGAGAAAGCAGGUCUCGUGGAUAAUAUUUCUGAAGAUCAGAGCAGGUUGUGUCGGGUCCACGUUGGCCAUGACUGCAGCAUGCUCCGGAGGCAGCAGGGGGCACCCUGGAGCUUCGCAUCCUCCCUCAGGCCCGCGGCAUCUCCCCUGGCUCCACCAUCCCCAGGUGUCUCAGGUUGGAUGCACGGUGGUUCGCUAUGGCCAUUUCUGAUUAAAGACAGAACAAAUGGAUUGUCCGGAUACGGUGUCUGUGAAAGGAACCCAGCUGUGAGCCUCAGCAGGCAGGUGCCCUGGCAGGGGCGACAUUCUAAAUCCACAGGGAGGGCCCAGAAGGGACGCAAGAGGUCACCUGCCGUGCAGGGUGCGGGGAGUCUUGGAGGUGGGCAGCAGCUGUUUACCCGUGAGCGACGAGGAGCAUCAGCGCUUGAACAGUGGAAGCAGCAUUUACAGGCGAACACCAGCCCAAGGAGGGCCAGGGGGCCCAAAGCUAUGGUGUCCAGAGCCUCCCAGCUCCCACUCUGGCCUCCAGUGGCCAUGGAAUUGCUAACUAUG